AACCAUAGAAACCUGCGGAGUACCUGCGGAAGGAUCAUUACCGAGCGUGGCCCCUUUUUACCAAGGGGUGCCUCCCGUCCUUUGCGGGCCCUCGCGGGCUUUUUGACUUUGCUUCGGCGGGGCUGCCCCGCCGGAACACCCUCAACAAAAUCUUUUAACCGUUCCGUCCGAGCACUAUUCAAAUACAAGAAAACUUUUAACAAUGGAUCU
This 210-nucleotide unclassified non-coding RNA is filed under the name soil metagenome. RNAcentral's name for it is "partial contains 5.8S ribosomal RNA, internal transcribed spacer 2, and large subunit ribosomal RNA". The record is from RNAcentral.